CAAUGUUGCAGUCUUUCUUAGCGACAGAGACUUGGAUCUUUUCCCUUACAAAUUCAAAUGGAUGAUCUUCACAUUCAAAAAGCACAAACCAAUCGCUAACCAUUCACUCAUGGGACAACAAGGCCAUACCAAGGAUCGAGCAAGUCAGAUUUUUAGGAAUGACUCUGGACAGUAGAAUAAAAGAUCACUAUUCAGGGGCGCCGUAGAGGACGCCUGCUCUAUUUUUCCUUAGCAUGGCUAAUUCCUUCAAUUGGAAAGGUUACAAUACAAGGCCAUCAGAGUGACAAUAAUCGACCCCAAUCAAUGCUAUGUGAGAUUCCGGUGAUCUUAUAACAUAGCAGUCCUGUUUUCUUUUCUUUUCUGGGAAAUUCUUGUAGAGGGUCGGAGGCAUAUUGAAUAAGACUGAUCACGUUAAUCCGGCUGCACCGGAACC
This is a long non-coding RNA of Trachymyrmex septentrionalis, 433 nucleotides long. RefSeq lists it as uncharacterized. The record is from RefSeq and is a predicted model, not a curated record. NCBI's taxonomy places the organism in Eukaryota, Metazoa, Arthropoda, Insecta, Hymenoptera, Formicidae. The transcript has 3 exons.